RNAcentral lists this unclassified non-coding RNA (520 nucleotides) under uncultured Glomus. RNAcentral describes it as "SSU rRNA". It matches the Rfam family "Eukaryotic small subunit ribosomal RNA", at positions 569 to 1089 of the family's 1831-position model. Lineage: Eukaryota; Fungi; Glomeromycota; Glomeromycetes; Glomerales; Glomeraceae. The record is from RNAcentral.
AGCAGCCGCGGUAAUUCCAGCUCCAAUAGCGUAUAUUAAAGUUGUUGCAGUUAAAAAGCUCGUAGUUGAAUUUCGGGAUCAAUGCGUCGGUCGUGCUUUCGGGUACGUACUGGUGUCAUUGGUUUCUCCUUUCUGACGAGCCGUGAUGUCAUUAAUUUGGUGUUACGGGUAGUUAGGACUGUUACUUUGAAAAAAUUAGAGUGUUUAAAGCAGGCAUUAGCUUGAAUACAUUAGCAUGGAAUAAUGAAAUAGGACGUUCGAUCCUAUUUUGUUGGUGUCUAGGAUCAACGUAAUGAUUAAUAGGGAUAGUUGGGGGCAUUAGUAUUCAAUUGUCAGAGGUGAAAUUCUUGGAUUUAUUGAAGACUAACUGCUGCGAAAGCAUUUGCCAAGGAUGUUUUCAUUAAUCAAGAACGAAAGUUAGGGGAUCGAAGACGAUCAGAUACCGCCGUAGUCUUAACCAUAAACUAUGCCGACUAGGGAUCGGAUGAUGUUAAUUUUUUAAUGACUCAUUCGGCGCCUU